ACCAACAACUCCUACAAAUAACACAAUAAAAAAUGACCUGAGACCAAAGGAAAAAGAAUAUUCAGGCCCCAAGCCAUUGUCCAGUACGAAUGUUGAUGGAUUACGAUCCAAAGCGGGCAGAAUGGAUGAAAAUAAUACAAAGAAAAUAUCAAAACAGGAAGAAAUAACCAAUGAAGACCGGGUAUGCAAUAACACGCUGUGUGAUAUGAAUGGUGGUACUUGUGGUAUAUUUACCUGUAAAACAGGCGAUAUUGUUGGAAUUACUGCAUUCCAUACAUACCACCAUGUACGUUAUUUGGUUAAACGAGGCGAAUCAUGUGGGUCUGGACAUUGUCCUGUCAAUGUAAAGUGUGUAAAUGACGUCUGUAGAG
Patella vulgata (common limpet) is the source of this 371-nucleotide long non-coding RNA. RefSeq lists it as uncharacterized. The transcript is spliced from 4 exons. The record is from RefSeq and is a predicted model, not a curated record. NCBI's taxonomy places the organism in Eukaryota, Metazoa, Mollusca, Gastropoda, Patellidae.